This 608-nucleotide unclassified non-coding RNA is filed under the name Zea mays. RNAcentral describes it as "misc RNA Zm00001eb142970". Lineage: Eukaryota; Viridiplantae; Streptophyta; Magnoliopsida; Poales; Poaceae. The record is from RNAcentral.
CUUCAUCUUCAUCAUCGUACGCGUCCAUGUUGAGUUCGCGGAGCUCAUCAGCGACGUCGUCCGCCUUGCUAGAGCCCUUGCAGAGCGCCUUGGCUACGGCCUUGGCUCGGGCAGCCUCAUCAACCUCCUCCACCGUUUCCGCCGCACCGUCGAGUUCCAUGGUGGCAGCAUCAUCAUCCUCGUCAGCGUCGCUCCCGGAGCUGGAUACAGGUUACAUGGCAAGAAAAAUGAAACCAAGUCACUGUCGCUAGAAUUAAUGAUGGAGAAAGACAGGUUACACACGGCAACGAAACAAAAUUCGUCACUAUUGCUGGAAGUAGAGCACGCGAUGCAAGGAUAGAAACAGAGGGCGGAGGGAGGCGGCUCUCACUCUCUGCCCAGGUCGAAGGUCUUCAUGGCCUCGGCGAUCUCCUCCUGAGUGGGCGGGUCGGCAACGACGGGCACGCUCUUGGCGGCGCCCCUGGGCACCCAGGAUAUCGCGGAGAUCAUCCCCUUGAUCGAGUCCUCCUCCAUCGGACGAUAUGAGCGAGUCCUCUCCCUCCUUCAGUGGUUUGUCGCGGAGGUGGCGCGUGGGAGGAGGCGGAGGUGGCGCGUGGGAGGAGGCGGAG